ACUUCAACGGUGCCGUGCCGUAUUGUACAACACGGCGUAAUUUGCCGGAUUUGCAGAUCGAUCAGCAAGCCAUUUUCAGAGCACGGCACACGGUUUUUUCACUUCUGGCCAAUCACAGUCCAGAUAAAUUACGUCAUUGCCCACAUAUUUUCUGAUCAAGCGACAAAUCGCCUGCGGUGAUAGUCUAUGGGAGUUUACGUGUUAAAUGCAAAAUCGCACAUACACGUAGGUCUACGUGUAUUACCUGCUGAAGAGAGGUGACUGAAGGAGGACUUGAUCUUGCAAUUCUUGGUCUGAUAACCAACAUGGAGGAAGCCCUUAUCCUAGAAGUGUAGGAAAAUCCAAUCCUGUAUGACAAGAUAUUGGAGAUGUUCAAGGAUACAGAAGUAAAAAAAUGAUCUAUGACAUGACAUUGGGCGUCAGCUUGUAAUCUCAGGUGACGUAGCGAGUUGAGGGACAACUUCCUAAAAAACGACAGAAAUGGAGAGGAAGAGUGGUGACGGAACUCCCUCAAAUGCAGCACGUAAAUACAAGUACAGUGAUCGAGGCAAUGGAAUUCCUACUUCGAUCCCCACAUACAUUAUCGAGA
Lytechinus pictus (painted urchin) is the source of this 589-nucleotide long non-coding RNA. RefSeq lists it as uncharacterized. The record is from RefSeq and is a predicted model, not a curated record. The transcript has 3 exons. Lineage: Eukaryota; Metazoa; Echinodermata; Echinoidea; Temnopleuroida; Toxopneustidae.